AUGAAAGUUUACUCCUCUCCAGGAGGCGGGGUGCACAGGCAGCCUCUCCCCAUGCUUUCUCCCGGGAGGAACUGGACGCACAAGAAAGCCCACGACCAAAUCCGCCACGACUUACCGCUUCCAUGACUUUCUUCCGAGUAACCUCAGAAGAGUGGAAUCACAAGACAGAAGGAGCCUGGAUCCCAAAGUCUGUUCUUUGAAGAGAGCUUCUAAGGAGACCUGUCCAGUAGUCAUCAGAGUUUGAUAUAAAUAAACCUUUGCUAUAUAAAGCUAUUAAAAUCAGGGGGUAUUUGUUAGUGCAGCAUAACC
Long non-coding RNA from Bubalus bubalis (water buffalo), 309 nucleotides. RefSeq lists it as uncharacterized. The transcript has 2 exons. NCBI's taxonomy places the organism in Eukaryota, Metazoa, Chordata, Mammalia, Artiodactyla, Bovidae. The record is from RefSeq and is a predicted model, not a curated record.